GCCUUUUCUAGGGCCGCUCCCCCGGCAUAUGGAAGCUCCCAGGCUAGAGAUCUAAUCAGAGCUGUAGCCACCAGCCUACGCCAGAGCCACAGCAAUGCGGGAUCUGAGCAGUGUCUGUGACCUACACCACAGCUCACAGUAACGCUGGAUCCUUAACCCACUGAGGAAGGCCAGGGAUCAAACUCGCAACCUCAUGGUUCCUCGUCGGAUUCGUUAACCACUGCACCACAACGGGAAUUCCUAUUUGUUUGUUUUAAAUGUGCAAUUUUACUUAUUUUUUAGGCCUAUUUAUUUAUUUUUUUCUUCUUUUUAUGGCCGCACUUGCAACAUAGGGAAAUUCCCAGGCUAGGGAUCAAAUUGGAGCUGCAGCUGCCAGCCUAGGCCACAGCCACAGCAACAGCAACAGCAACUCGGGGUCUGAGCUGCCUCUGUGACCUAUGCCACAGCUCACGGCAAUCCUGGAUCCUUAACCUGCUGAACAAAGGCAGGGAUCAAACCCACAUCCUGACCGACACUAGGCUGGGUUCUUAACCUGCUAAUAAGCCAUGACAGGAACUCCCUGUACAAACUUUUAAAUAUAUUUCUUAACUGCAAAGAGAAAGAUAGUGUUUUACACAGCAGAAUCCCAGUGAAGGAGAUUAAAAUUUCCAGGAAGAGGACAUGUGGACACUCAGGAGCCCAUGACAUGAUGCACUGAAAAAGACAAGACAUCGAUUCUGUGAUACUCUUGCCAAAGAAAUACAACCCCAUGUUAAUCGUGUGGAUGUCAAAGCCCACAGUGAAGUCUAUGAAUAGUGAGUACUCUUCAAAAGUAUUGAAUCUAUGAAAGGAAAGGGAAGGUUUAGAAAUGAAUAGACUGGAGAGGGCCAAGGAAAAAUCCCUAAAUGUGAUGCGGGACCUUGAAUAGGACCCCAGAGGACAUUAGUGGAAAAAACUGGUAAAAUUCCAAUAAGUUCUGUGGUAUAGAUAAUAGAAUUAGAGCAAUGUUGAUUUCCUAUUGUUGGUUGACCCAAUGUGCACUUUGAUCCCACUGUGAUAUCUAUGGGUAUGGUUAUAGUUAGGGUUAAGACGUUAACAGUGGGGAAAACUGGGUGGAAGUAUACAGGUACUCUCAGCUCUACAACUUUUUUUUUUUUUUUUUUUUUUUGUCUUUUUAGGGCUGUACCCAAGGCAUAUGGAGGUUCCUAGGCUAGGGGCUGAAUCAGAGCUGUAGCUGCCAGCCUACACCACAACCAGAGCAACUUAGAUCCGAGCCUCGUCUGCAACCUACACCACAGCUCAUGGCCAUACUGGAUCCUUAACCCAGUGAGCGAGGCCAGGGAUUAACCCCACAUCCUCGUGGAUUCUAGUCAGGUUCGUUAACCGCUGAGGCACGACAGCAAGUUGUGCUCUACAGCUUUUCUGUGAGUCAAAAAUUAAUUCAAAGUUAAAACUAUUUUUGAAUUUCAAGUUUUCUAAGUGCAACACUCUCCAAAUAAACCAAUCCCAUCUUAGAAGAGUAAUUUAUGGGGUUCAUCUGCCAGCAAUGAAAAAUUCCCAGACUUUGAAUAAAGUAGAAAAAUACAUUGUUUGCCAUAUUAUUAAAAAUCUAGGAUUUCCUGCUGUGGCAAAGUGGGUUAAGAAUCCAAUUGCAGCCACUCGGGUUGCUACGGAGGUGCAGGUUCAAUCUCUGGCUGGCACAGUGGGUUAAAGGAUCCAGCAUCGCUGAAGCUGCAGGGUAGGUCAGAUUCAGCCUAGGAACGUCCAUAUGCCCAGGUGUGGCCAUUAAAAAAAAAAAAAAAAAA
RNAcentral lists this long non-coding RNA (1784 nucleotides) under Sus scrofa (pig). Its description in RNAcentral is "lncRNA (ENSSSCG00015029900.1)". The record is from RNAcentral. Lineage: Eukaryota; Metazoa; Chordata; Mammalia; Artiodactyla; Suidae.